CCUACGGGGGACAGCAGUAGGGAAUCUUCCACAAUGGGCGAAAGCCUGAUGCAGCAACGCCGCGUGGGUGAAGAAGGUCUUCGGAUUGUAAAACCCUGUUGUUAGAGAAGAAAGUGCGGGAGAGUAACUGUUCACGUUUCGACGGUAUCUAACCAGAAAGCCACGGCUAACUACGUGCCAGCAGCCGCGGUAAUACGUCGGGGGCAAGCGUUAUCCGGAUUUAUUGGGCGUAAAGGGAACGCAGGCGGUCUUUUAAGUCUGAUGUGAAAGCCUUCGGCUUAACCGGCGUAGUGCAUUGGAAACUGGCAGACUUGAGUGCAGAAGAGGUGAGUGGAACGCCAUGUGUAGCGGUGAAAUGCGUAGAUAUAUGGAAGAACACCAGUGGCGAAGGCGGCUCUCUGGUCUGUAACUGACGCUGAGGUUCGAAAGCGUGGGUAGCAAACAGGAUUAGAUACCCCAGUAGUC
This 465-nucleotide ribosomal RNA is filed under the name uncultured bacterium. RNAcentral describes it as "partial 16S ribosomal RNA". It matches the Rfam family "Bacterial small subunit ribosomal RNA", at positions 338 to 795 of the family's 1533-position model. The record is from RNAcentral.